AACGCACCUUGCGCCCCUUGGCAUUCCGAGGGGCACACCCGUUUGAGUGUCGUGAAAUCUUCAAAAACCCUCUCUUUCGAGGGGGAUUUUUGGACUUGGAGGUUCAAUGCUCGCUUUCGCCUUUUAGAAAGCGAGCUCCUCUCAAACGAAUCAGUGGGGUCUGCUUAGCCGGUCCUUGACGUGAUAAGAUCUUUCUACGUUUUGGAUUCGACAUCGUCCCGCUUCCAAUCGUCCCACGGACAAAGGAUGGUGCUCCGGUCGCGGCCGGACCCACCAAAAAAACCUUGACCUCAAAUCGGGUGAGACUACCCGCUGAACUUAA
RNAcentral lists this unclassified non-coding RNA (322 nucleotides) under uncultured Russulaceae. RNAcentral describes it as "sequence contains ITS2". The record is from RNAcentral. Lineage: Eukaryota; Fungi; Basidiomycota; Agaricomycetes; Russulales; Russulaceae.